UAUGGUAAGUAAUGACAGCUUUUACAUGAUUUUUACUCUGUCCACAUCAACACUUUUUUAAAAAAAUUUACCCAUUAUAAAAUAUUUUCUUUCCGUAGCCAUUGAAGUCUAACAGACCAGAAGGAAUAUAGCCACUUUCUAUAUGUCUACAUUGAUAAAGAGAAGACUUUUUUAGAAAACCGCAUCUUCAAGAAUUUCAGACUAGCUGCCAAUGUCUGGAUCCGUCAAGAGGACCAUCCUUGGACCUGAUCUUGCAGCUGCUGUUGAUAUCCAUAGGGGCAGAGAGAGCUCUACUUUGCACCACAGACCUGCAGUUUUACCUACCACAGCUCCGUAGUAGGCGGAUGUCAUUUUCCAGUACAUCAGGAGUUUCGUAGAAACUAUCCAGUCCUGCAGCCAUCACAGGUUGGUGUUAUGAAGUCCCCAUUGGUGUUAUUCUUGGAAACAGGACCAUGGUAUCAAAUAGGGCUUUUGAAAAGCACAUUCCUUUUAGCCUCAUGACUGGCAGCUGAUGAAAAUGGAGAAAAAAGGUUUCAAAAUAACAAACAAUAUGAUAUGUUGGAUUAAAAAGAAAUUGGAGAGAUGAAAUAUCCUAAGGCAGAUGUUCAUAUUACAUUAUAUUCAAGGAUUUCUAAAAAACUGCCUCCUCCUUUUCAAAUUCUUGAUUAUACGCUUUAUAUUUACUUAACUACCUUUCCUGAAACUGAUAGUCUAUUUGGUGAUGUGUGGACUCUCUAAACCACUUUUAAAAUGUCAGUACACCAUUAGUCAGAAUAAGGUGACCUUUCCCAGAACAAAUAUUUCUGUGUACAUCUCAGCUAAUGUUGGCUAAAGUACAUGAGAACAAGAGUGGUAAUAAGAUUUAUCAUACUGAGACACUGAGUAAUAGAAGUUCUUCUGUAAAUUAACAACCAUGGUUGAUAUUAUUUGUGCAUUUGUGUGCACGUCAGAAAAAAGACAACUCAUCUACUAUAGCACAUUUUUUGGACUCUAAGACAUACCCCCCCAAGUUUGGGAGGAAUAAUAGUUGUUAAUGCUGCUGUUGAGUUCUGUUUACAUUUACAUUGGUGAAAUAUUAUGUUAUUUAUCUUAUUAAAUAUGUAACCACACUUUUUGCUUCAAAAUAUUUUUCUAUUUUCCUCCUCUAAAACCUGGCUGUGUCUUACAGUCUGAAAAAUAUGGUAGUUAGUGCUCCCUCAUUCCCGAUAAGGCCACUUGCUCUUUAGCCUGCUAUACAUCAUUAAACUAGCUUCUGGCAGAUAAUAGUAGAAGCUAAGGACUUCUGUCCUCAUGGUAAUGACAGUGAAGGUCCCAUAUGUCUCAUCUUCUGAAUAAAUUAAUUCAGAGCUUGAAAGGCCCGAAUGUUUACCAUUACCAUGUAGCUACUAAUAUCAUUAGUCUUUCAUACAUACAUACCUGAAUCAUUAACUUAUACAUAUCUAACAUUUUUAUACUAGUUUUAUCUAUUUUUAGAAUGGGUUCACAUGCACAUAUUUUAUAUUUAAAUAAUCCCAAUUAAUUUCUAUUUUAAUAGUUCAUUUAUAUUGCAUUUUCCCAUUACCGUUUACUCCUCUUUUAACCUCAUCCAACUCGACCUGCCCCCCUUCACUCCCCACAAUCACCAACUGUUGUCCAAGUCUGUGAGUUCUUUUCCUUGUUUUCUUUUUCCCUCCAGCCCCACACCCUCUCAGGGCUGUCAGCCUGCUUGCUAUCUAUAUGUCUGUCUUCAUUUUGUUCAAUUUGUUCAUUAGAUGCCACAUAUGAGUGAAAUCAGAAUUUUUUUCUAGUAAGCCCUGUUUUAUUCCUUUCAACAGAAAAAUUGGUAUGUAAAUAUGGAGGCUUUAAGUCAGUUUAUCUUUAUUGUAUGUAAAUAUGUACAUAUGAAUAAGAUGAAAGAACAUGAUAAUCUUUUUAUUCAAUCUGACAACUUCAGUUUAUCUUUCAGUAAACAAAACUAUGAUGAUAGUUACACAGACAAGAAUGUGCUUGGAAACACAUGUUCAGCAUAUCUUGGUUAUCUUCUCUGUGCAAACCUUUGACUUAAUUGAUCUUGAAGAUGCAAAGAUGUUUCAGACCCAGAGCUUUCCCUUAGCUCAAAAUUAGUAGAAGAGCCAAGAAAAUGAAAAAAUGUAUCACCCAGAGCUUUUUCUUAGUUCAUAAUUUAAUAAAAGAACAAAGGUAUCUUAAACUAACUCAGAUGCUAGGUAGAAAGUGAAUCAACCAACAAAUGCUUCAAAAGGUGUAUGAUCAGAAACAAAGGUCUGAUCUCUCUCUCUCUUUCUCUGCCUUCCUCUCUCUAUAAAAAUCAAUAAAUUAAAAAAUUAAUUUAAAAAGAAUGACCUGCUUUAAAAACACUAAUAACUAUUUAUAGUGUCAGAUGAGUACUAGACUUACUGAGGUAAACACUUCAUAGAUUAUAUAAAUGUCUAAUUACUAUGUUGUAAACCUGAAACUAAUAUAAUAUUGAGUGUCAACUGUAACUGAAUUUUUUUUUAUAAAAAGGAGGGGAAUUCUGACCCAUGCAUGGAUGAAGCUCCAGGACAUUGUGUUCAGGGGAAUAAGCCAUAAAGCAUACAACUCCACUUAGAUGAGGUACCUAGAGUGAUCACACUGGUAGAGACAGGAAGUAGAAUGGUGGUCCCCAGGAGCUGGAGGGGAGCGGUGGGAAAUGGGGUGUUGUUUAAUGGAUAUGGAGUUUCUUUUUUCCAGGAUGAACAGAGUCCUAGAGAUGGAUGAUGGUAAUGAUUGCACAAUGUGAACGUACUCAAUACCACUAAACUGUGUGAUUUUUAAAUAAUGGAUAAGAUUUUAAGAAAAAGGAAAAAAACAAAGUGGUGUAAGUUCAGAGGAAGGAGGAAAUCUCAGCUGAUCAAAAAAUAUGCUUAUCUCAUUAGGCAAUGAAAGUAAUGGAAACUCCCUGUGCGAUAAAGCUGAAGACUGUAUGCCAGGAUCAGAGUGAAGGAGGGUAACAAGGAACUGAAAAGGGAUACCGGCUGGGACAGGACUGCAGGAAGCUUUGCGUGGCAUGCCAAAGAAUUUAGCCUGCCGGCGAUCAUGGUAAACAUUGGAGAAGUUGAGGGUAAAGAUGACGUGCAUCUGUACUCAAGGAGAAGGAAUAAUUUAAGGCUUUUCAAAAACUCUUGUGUAUCACAGAUGCUAGUUUUGCUUUACUAAAUAGGAGCGAUGGCCUAUAUAUUUGCAUUUUUAAGAGAACCUUCAACCCCAUUACCAGGUAACUCUGGUGCAGUUUAUUUAUUAAACUUUGAAGAAAAUUAUUGUGAUAUUCUGUCAGCCAGUCAAGUGAUUUCAUCUAUUGUUUGACUAAAAGUUUUAAUAUUUUCUCUCUACCCUACAUGCCCAUGCAGGUUAGAGGUUCAGCACGCCAUCUUUAGCUUCAUCUUUCAAAUGCUACCAGCCCCAUAAGGAGAUGGCACCACUGAGCAUAUGCACUCUGUGGUUGGCAACUCCAACAGACAUAUACGCAACUCACAUCUAUUUCUGGAGUUGUUGGAUGUGGUAGAAAGGCUGGUGAAACAACAGGAGUCCCUAGACCUCAGUGGAUAUCUUGCUAUUUACUCUGUGACGCCAAGGCUGAGCUUGAAGUUAUUGGCAGUGUGCAUGUAAAUGAGAAAUGUCUACCCUCUCUGCCUCAGGGUGACUUAGAAAUUCAUAAGAAAUCUUGUUUGUCUAAAGCUCUUUGAAAUAAUCUACCAAGUGCUGUACAAAUGUGAGACAUGCUAAUCCCUUUGGGUUAAACCAUUAAAUCUCCAGACAACUCUAUUUAAAUGCAAAUAUGUUGUAUAAGAAGGCAUAACAUUAGCACAUAUAUUAGAAUUUUAGCUGUGCAUUAGGGUACAUGAUUUUUUCACAAAAAUCUGACACUGAAGAAAUGGGGGAUGUGGUCAUUACAUUUUAAUGGCACUGGGGAGGAAGCUGGGGAAGAAGCAGAACUUCUACCUUCUUUGGGUCUCCUGGGCUUGAGAAUUAAACUGAUAGAAACAAACUCAUAGAUACAGAGAACAAACUGAUGGUUGCCAGUUGUAAAGGAGGCUGGGUGCCAGGUGAAAAAGGUGAAAGGGAUUAAGAAAUACAAAUGGCCAGUUAUUAAAAUAUUAUGGGAAUAUAAAGUACAGUGUAGGGAAUAUCAUUAAUAACAUUGUAAUAACUAUACAUGGUGUUAGGUAUUAGGCUGAUAGGAGUGAUCAAUUCAUAAGAUGUAUAAAUAGCUAAUGACUAUGGUGAAUACCUGAAACUAAUAUAGCAUUCUAUGUCAACUGUAAUUAAAAAAUAAAAAAAAGAUUGAUAGGAGAAAAACACAGAUUGUAUUUAAUAUAAGUUUUAUGUGCUAUUGGAACCCUUAUAAGGACAUGAAGACCCACAAAAGUGGCAAGACCUAAAUGCUUUUAUACUAUGUUGAACAUAGAGACAAAGAGGUAGUAAAAAAGUAAUUAAAAUAUAAGGGGAGACUGAAAACAGAUGAGAGCAUUUUAACAUACUCUGUACAGCAUUCUCAGCCUCAGGUCCUCACCUCUGGUGACAAGAAUGUUUUCUUCUUCCUGGUGUAGGGAGGCCAUUUUUCACAUGGAAGACUUCUCUCCUGCUUCUAGGACAAAAAGGGAGAGGCAGAGCAUUCUUCUUAUACCUGCUUUUUUUUAAGUGCUCAAAAUAAUUUUUAUGCCAAUUGACACAUUUUGAGUUGGCAGCCACUGCCACUGCUGAGAGCCAUGAAAAAAGGAGGAAAAAGAGACUUGGAAAAAAAUUCAGUGCAUAGGUCUGAAAGUCAGACGUAGGAAACGUACUUAACAUAAGGUCCAAAAAUAGACCUGAAAGGUUCUGAAAGCCAUAUGCUUACUUUAGGCUAUUGUCUAUGCCUGGUCCUGAUUCCUCCUCAGGGGAGAAAAGUACAAGACAUGUAUUUUUUUUCUUUUCCUAGAGGCAAAGAAUGAAGGGAAUAGUGUAGUAGUAGACAUAGCUGAACAACCUAUUGAAACUUCUUAGUGUAUGUGUGUGUGUAUAUAUAUAUAUAUAUAUAUAUAUAUAUAUAUAUAUAUAUACCUCCAAAAGGACACCAUGUGGAUAUACCAAACUAUGUGGAACAGAAAACAGUAUCCCUAUUAGGUAGACGACACCAUGGUAUAUAUGAAUGCUCUACUACCCUACAUCCUCCUAGGGUCUUAAUUAAGUUUAAACAUCACCAGUAGGCAGAGGGAAGAAUUGGAAUCUGCUGUAAUUCAGUUUCCACUUUCAACCUGUGCAAUGUUACAGCCUCCCAAUAAAGUGCUAUGGGUUAUGGCAUUGUCAGAAAGAACCUGUGGCCGCCAGCUCACAGAUGCUCAAAGGCAUUAAGUCUCCAGAAAAUGGAGAAAAGACAGAAGUCAAAUCUGGCCCUGCAGUUUAUUUGUACAUGCUCAAUUUCAUCUUCUCCUCUAGUGAAAAUGAAGUUGAAGAAAGACUCUUAUGUGACUCUAGAAAAUCAGAGCCUUGGACACUCCCAAGUGAAUAGGGAAGGCAAUGCCACAGUCUAAGGGAGGAGGCUACUCUGGUAAAGAUGCAUUUUUAAUCCCUUAGCUAGCUGGGUACUUUAGACAGUCAACUGUGUUGACCCUUGGGGUUUGCAUGUGCUUUUCAAUUACAAAGAGACACUUUCAUGUUCGGAAUUCCCUGCCUUAAAAAUUGCUACAGGCUCUCAAAUCUCCUGUGCAGGUUAAGUUAUCCAAAUAAAGCCAGCUUCAGCCGAGAGGCAUUAGAACUUCCACUUGCCAUCUAUAAAGACUGCUAAAGAGAACACGAGCUGUGAGAGGAGUACAAGAAAAUCACAGGAAAAAUAUCUUGUUUCAAUAACAAGUACCUACCUGAACUCUUACCCGAUCACUGUUUCUCAAGGAAGAAGUGAGUUCCAAAUAUGGGUUUAAUUUUGCACAAAGUCUAUGCACUUGACUCCAUAUUCCUACCUGGCAUUUGGCAGCAAGACACAAACCCAUCUCCUUGGAAUUUAUUUUCUUUCUUUUAAACAUUAAUUAAUUAAUUAAAAUUUUCUGAAAAGUAGAACAUUCCUGUAACAGCAAAUGCAAAGUGCCCAAAAGGGUGUAGAGAGGAAAAACAGGCUUCUGUCUCAUUGUAACCUCCAGCCACUUGUUCAGUUUCUAAAAGUUAUCAUUGUUGGCAGUUUCAGAGGUAAUCUCUAUAUACAAAUAUUUGUGGAUUUUCUCUCAUCUUUUCUCUUUACCCAAAUAAUUGUAUAUUAUAGCAAGAAAGCAAAGGGCAAGAGUAUCUAUAUCUAUCUAUCCCCUGUCUCUAUAUGGUAACCAUGUUUGUCUUUUAUGUCAGUUAGUUAUACAUUUCCCUGUUAUUUUAAAUAGCUGCAUAGUGUUUGUUUCUGUGGAUAUAACAUAAUUUAUUUAGCUGAUCCCCUACUCAUAGCCAGUUAUGUUGUUAUGAAUCUCAUGUUAAAACCAUGAGUGUCUUUGUGACAGUAUCAUGUCACUCGUGUAAAAGGAUACACCAGAUAAAUUCCUAGAAGUGGAAUUUCUAAGAAAAAAACAUGCACCUUCAAUUUUUAUAUAUAUUACUGAGUUUUAAUAGCCUCUAAGAUUUCCUGUUUCCUGGUGUUAUUGAAAUUUUUGAUAUUGACAAUGAGAUACAUGCAUAUUAGAAUUUUAAAGUAGCUUUAA
Molecule: long non-coding RNA, 6671 nt
Organism: Artibeus jamaicensis (Jamaican fruit-eating bat)
Lineage: Eukaryota; Metazoa; Chordata; Mammalia; Chiroptera; Phyllostomidae
Exons: 5
Source: RefSeq, a predicted model, not a curated record